This 198-nucleotide ribosomal RNA is filed under the name uncultured bacterium. RNAcentral's name for it is "partial 16S ribosomal RNA". It matches the Rfam family "Bacterial small subunit ribosomal RNA", at positions 328 to 539 of the family's 1533-position model. The record is from RNAcentral.
ACGCUCGACACCUACGGGAGACAGCAGUGGGGAAUAUUGCACAAUGGGGGAAACCCUGAUGCAGCGACGCCGCGUGAAGGAAGAAGUAUUUCGGUAUGUAAACUUCUAUCAGCAGGGAAGAAGAUGACGGUACCUGAGUAAGAAGCACCGGCUAAAUACGUGCCAGCAGCCGCGGUAAUCUGAGCGGGCUGGCAAGGC